GGUGUAAUACACACACACGAUUAUUCACCAUUUUCAUUACAUGCCGUAUCCGGGAAGCUGCUGGAAUGGAAUGCAGCGAGGUACUCGGAUGAGGUAACUGGGAAUGACCUGCUUCUCCUCAUUUACAUCUGACUCAGAGCCAUUUGAAUCCUCUGCUUUAUGUGCGAUAUUGCCUUCUUACUUCUACAACACCCCGGAGAAGACGAGGAGAGCCAGCAGGUCUCUGCCCUGCAGAGGUUGUUUUAUCAGAGAGAAAAUGAGUGGAAGGUGAAGGUGGGAGCUGAAAUGUCCAGGUGACCUGGCCUGGAGAAAACCCAUCCUCCUGGCUGGCUGUGAAAAAUGGAUCACUCAGGACACAGACUCUUAACAGCCACCAAUCUCCAACUCCCUGCCAAGAGGAGGAUUUGGACUGUGGAUUUAUUAUUUGCCUUGCUAAUUUUCCAUGCAGAUGGCACAGGAAUAUGACAGCCAGUGGCUCUGGAGUUAAUUGUGAAAGGUUUUUUCCCUCUGGAGAAGAGCUGAGUGUCAAGCAGCAGCAGUGUGGGUCUGUUUUCCACCAGGGCUCCUCACAAGGAACCAACCAGGACAAUAAUUUCUGUCUGCUCAGCCUGUUCUGAAAUCACUAUAAAAUUAAAAUGCAGACAGGAGCCAGAAAUAAACAUUUAUUUAUCUCCCCAGUCCCACUGGACUUCAGUCUACCAUAAACAAUUACUGCAGCUAUAAAAAAGCAAAGCCCUCUAUUAUCAGCUGAUCCUCCCAUCGAGGCUGUAUCUGCCUGCUUGAUUUGAAUUUCAAUGCUAUUGUUUUGCGUGUGUUGAACUACAAAGAGAAGAAAAGCUUUUUGUUAUUCCUCUUCAUCAACUGAUCUAAUGCAAGAGGACAAUUACUGGUAAUUAUUUUUGCAGCAAUUAUGCUGGCCCAAACACCAGAAGUGCAAGCACAUUCCUUGUUAUUUAUUACAGAAAGAUCUCAAACCACAGCCUGUUUAGAAUGCACAGCAUUUCAAUUCAUGAACUUUGAUGAAACUUAUUUUAAUAUAGCUUUGUUUUCCUUAUUAAACGACAAGAAAGAAUAAUUACAACAGAUCUGGUAGUGCUUUAAUGUUGCUGAGUAUGUUCCAGCAGUUAACAUUCUCUGUAUAUGAACAGCACGGCUGCUCUAGAGGGGUUUUCUCAACUAAUUCCAAAUCUGUAAAGCCUGAACUUUUAUCAGAUUUUAUGCCUGGACCUGAAAACAAUUAAUUCUUUCCUACUAGUUGAAUUUAUCUCAAUCUGCAAGGAGCCAGUUGUCUUUUUAUAAAUCUGCACCUGACACAGGUUGUUGCACACUAAAUUUAAUAAAGUUCUGUGAUGAGAGAGGAGAUAUCUCUGCUUUUCUAAGGUCCCACUGUGGGACCUGUUCUGUAGUUUGGAUCAGGAAUUUCUGGGCUCUGUCCCCUGCCCAUGCUGGGUAUGAGCUGCACCUCCUGCUUUUCUGAAAUGCAGCUCCUGCCCUGCUCCUGUCCAGCUGGAUGAGCUUGGAAAACUCAUUCCCCACAAAGAUGGUUGGAGCUUGAAAAAUAUCAUGUAGAGAUUUGUAUUAUAUUGUUCAAGAAAUUAUUUUGCUCUGAAAUAUUUCUGCUUUGGGUUUUUUUUUCUGCUGUCUUUCCCUUGGUAUUACCCCAAAUGGAUUUUCCUGAGAAAAGGAAAAUGAUAAAAAACUUCGGCAUUUUUUGACCUGUGCAGGGUUGAGUUGGACUUGAAUGAUCCUGGUGAGUCUCUUCCAGCUCAGGAAAUUUUGUGAUCCCUCAGCCCCUGCUCCUGCCAAAGCAACUUUUUAUCCUGAAGAAAAUAAUCCAGACUGAAUUCAAUCAGGUUUUAAAUAUAUCAGAGCAGGCUGGGAGAAAAGUUCCUCCAGGUUUGUG
Prinia subflava (tawny-flanked prinia) is the source of this 1903-nucleotide long non-coding RNA. RefSeq lists it as uncharacterized. The transcript has 3 exons. The record is from RefSeq and is a predicted model, not a curated record. Lineage: Eukaryota; Metazoa; Chordata; Aves; Passeriformes; Cisticolidae.